UUUACUUUCAUUCAUUAGUCAGAUAAAGCUGC
RNAcentral lists this non-coding RNA (32 nucleotides) under Rattus norvegicus (Norway rat). Lineage: Eukaryota; Metazoa; Chordata; Mammalia; Rodentia; Muridae. The record is from RNAcentral.